GACGAACGCUGGCGGCGUGCUUAAUACAUGCAAGUCGAACGGGAAGCUGACGCCGUUGAGUGGUACGUGGCGGACGAGCGAGUGAUAUGUAGGAAAGUAGCCUUUCGUAGGCGGACAACAAACGGCAGGUAACGCUAAUACCCAACGUGAAGGUGGCUGAGCUGCUAUUCUUGAAAAGGCCGGUGCCUACAGAUGAGCCUGCACCUGAUUAGCUAGUUGGUAGUGGAGUGGACUACCAAGGCGACGAUCAGUAGCUGGAUUGGGAGAAUGAGCAGCCACAAUGGGACUGAGGCACGACCCAUACUCCUGCGGGAGGCGGCAGGAGGGUAUUUUGAGGAAUGGGCGCAAGCCUGACGAAGCCACGGUGCGUGAACGAGGCAGCCCGUUGGGGUGUAGAGUUCGGUCAGGGCGGACGGAACUUGACGGUACCGACAGAGGAAGCACCGGCUAACUCCGUG
RNAcentral lists this ribosomal RNA (458 nucleotides) under uncultured bacterium. RNAcentral's name for it is "partial 16S ribosomal RNA". It matches the Rfam family "Bacterial small subunit ribosomal RNA", at positions 28 to 507 of the family's 1533-position model. The record is from RNAcentral.